GUUCUUGAGUCUUGGACUUCUAUGCAUCUUUUUAUGUCUUCAUUUGAGGUGUUGCAUCCUCAUUGCCUUGGUCCAAUCCUCUUCGCAUCCUGUGAACUACAAACACAAACACUAGAAACCUUAUUAGUUCACGGAUUGUGUUGUUCAUCAAACACCAAAACUCAAUUAGCCAAAAGGCCCGGGGUCCAUUUUCCUUACACACUCCAUUUCUAAUGUGUUUUUAGUUGAGUCGCUCGGGUAUAACUUGUUGUCCGUUAGUCAACUUUGUAAUAUGGGUUAUAAUUGCUUAUUCACAAAUGUAGAUGUGUCUAUCUUUAGAAGAAGUGAUGGUUCAUUAGCUUUUAAGGGUGUACUAGACGACAAACUAUAUUUAGUUGAUUUUGCAAAAGAGGAGGCCAGUCUAUAUGCAUGCUUAAUUGCUAAGACCAACAUGGGCUGGCUGUGGCAUCGUCGUUUAGCACAUGUGGGGAUGAAGAACCUUCACAAACUUCUAAAGGGAGAACAUGUGUUAGGUCUAACAAAUGUAAAUUUCGAAAAAGAUAGACCUUGUGUAGCUUGUCAAGCAGGUAAACAGGUGGGAAGCUCUCAUCAUAUCAAAAAUGUGAUGACCACGUCAAGACCUUUGGAGUUACUUCAUAUGGACCUCUUCGGACCCGUCACCUACCUAAGCAUAGGAGGAAGUAAGUAUGGUCUUGUUAUAGUUGAUGAUUUUUCCCGCUUCACUUGGGUAUUCUUUUUGUAGUAUAAAUCUGAAACCCAAGGGACCCUCAAGCGCUUCCUAAGGAGAGCUCAAAAUGAGUUUGAGCUCAAGGUGAAAAAGAUAAGGAGCGACAACGGGUCCGAGUUCAAGAAUCUUCAAGUGGAGGAGUUCCUUGAGGAGGAAGGAAUCAAGCAUGAGUUCUCCGCUCCCUACACACCACAGCAAAACAGUGUGGUACAGAGGAAGAACAGGACGCUCAUUGACAUGGUGAGGACGAUGCUUGGAGAGUUCAAGACGCCCGAGAGGUUUUGGUCGGAAGCCGUGAACACGGCUUGCCACGCCAUAAACCGGGUCUACCUUCAUCGCCUCCUCAAGAAGACUUCAUAUGAGCUACUAACCGGUAACAAACCCAAUGUGUCAUACUUUCGUGUUUUUGGGAGCAAAUGUUAUAUUCUAGUGAAGAAAGGUAGAAAUUCUAAGUUUGCUCCCAAAGCCGUAGAAGGGUUUUUGUUAGGUUAUGACUCAAAUACAAAGGCGUAUAGGGUCUUCAACAAAUCAUCGGGUUUGGUUGAAGUCUCUAGCGACGUUGUAUUUGAUGAGACUAAUGGCUCUCCAAGAGAGCAAGUUGUUGAUCUUGAUGAUAUAGAUGAAGAAGAUGUUCCAACGGCCGCCAUACGUACCAUGGCAAUUGGAGAUGUGCGACCACAGGAACAAACGGAGCAAGAUCAACCUUCUUCCUCAACAAUGGUGCAACCCCCAACUCAAGAUGAUGAACAGGUUCAUCAAGAAGAGGCGUGUAACCAAGGGGGAGCACAAGAUGAUCAUGUUAUGGAGGAAGAAGCACCUCAAGCCCCUCCAACUCAAGUUCGAGCGACGAUUCAAAGGAAUCAUCCCGUCGACCAGAUAUUGGGUGAUAUUAGCAAGGGAGUAACUACUCGCUCUAGAUUAGUUAAUUUUUGUGAGCAUUACUGUUUUGUCUCUUCUAUUGAGCCUUUCAGGGUAGAAGAGGCCAUGCUAGAUCCGGACUGGGUGUUGGCAAUGCAGGAAGAGCUCAACAAUUUCAAGAGAAAUGAAGUUUGGACACUGGUGCCACGUCCCAAGCAAAACGUUGUGGGAACCAAGUGGGUGUUCCGCAACAAACAAGACGAGCUCGGAGUGGUGACAAGGAACAAGGCUAGACUUGUGGCAAAAGGUUAUGCCCAAGUCGCAGGUUUGGACUUUGAGGAGACUUUUGCUCCUGUGGCUAGGCUAGAGUCAAUUCGCAUAUUGUUAGCCUAUGCCGCUCACCAUUCUUUCAGGUUGUUCCAAAUGGACGUGAAGAGCGCUUUCCUCAACGGACCAAUCAAGGAGGAGGUGUACGUGGAGCAACCCCCUGGCUUUGAGGAUGAACGGUACCCCGAUCAUGUGUGUAAGCUCUCUAAGGCGCUCUAUGGACUUAAGCAAGCCCCAAGAGCAUGGUAUGAAUGCCUUAGAGACUUUUUAAUUGCUAAUGCUUUCAAGGUUGGGAAAGUUGAUCAGACUUUAUUCACUAAGACUUGUGAUGGUGACUUAUUUGUGUGCCAAAUUUAUGUCGAUGACAUAUUAUUUGGUUCUACUAACCAAAAGUCUUGUGAAGAGUUUAGCAGGGUGAUGACUCAAAAGUUUGAAAUGUCAAUGAUGGGCGAGUUGAACUACUUCCUUGGGUUCCAAGUGAAGCAACUCAAGGAUGGCACCUUCAUCUCUCAAACGAAGUACACGCAAGACUUGAUCAAGCGGUUUGGGAUGAAGGACGCCAAGCCCGCAAAGACUCCAAUGGGAACUGACGGACACGUCGACCUCAACAAAGGAGGUAAGUCCGUUGAUCAAAAAGCAUACCGGUCUAUGAUAGGUUCCUUGCUUUACUUAUGUGCUAGUAGACCGGAUAUUAUGCUUAGUGUAUGCAUGUGUGCUGGAUUUCAAUCUGAUCCAAGGGAGUGUCACCUAGUGGUCGUGAAGCGAAUUCUUAGAUAUUUAGUUGCUACGCCUUGCUUCGGGAUCUGGUAUCCAAAGGGGUCUACCUUUGACUUAAUUGGAUAUUCAGACUCCGAUUAUGCUGGAUGCAAGGUCGAUAGGAAGAGUACAUCAGGGACGUGCCAAUUCUUAGGAAGGUCCCUGGUGUCUUGGAGUUCUAAGAAACAAAAUUCCGUUGCUCUAUCCACCGCUGAGGCCGAGUAUGUUGCCGCAGGUCAGUGUUGCGUGCAACUACUUUGGAUGAGGCAAACCCUCCGGGACUUUGGCUACAAUCUGAGCAAAGUCCCACUCCUAUGUGAUAAUGAGAGUGCAAUCCGCAUGGCGGAUAAUCCUGUUGAACACAGCCGCACAAAGCACAUAGACAUCCGGCAUCACUUUUUGAGAGACCACCAGCAAAAGGGAGAUAUCGAAGUGUUUUAUGUUAGCACCGAGAACCAGCUAGCCGAUAUCUUUACCAAGCCUUUAGAUGAAAAGACCUUUUGCAGGCUGCGUAGUGAGCUAAAUGUCUUAGAUUCGCGGAACUUGGAUUGAUUUGUAGCAUACAUGUGUCUUAUGCUUUGAUCAUGUUCUUUUAUGCAUAUUGUUGUUUAUUUAUGGUGCUCAAGUUGUACAAACACUCCCCGGACCUCAAAAGUCCAUGUGUGAGUGAUGCACAUAUUUAGGGGGAGAUGUGCUACAACUUGACUCUUUGGGACUAACCAUAUGCUUGAGUGUUCUUAAAUUAGUCUCAAAGGUGGAUUGAAAGGGAAAGGUGGACUUGGACCAUGAAAGACUUCCACUGCACUCCGAUAAGAGGGUAACUUACUCCAAGUUCAUCUCCAUAUUCUUAUUGCCUUUUUACUUUUAUUUGAAGAUUUUGGUGAGGCAAUGGGGUUUAAGGGCCAAAAAUGAUCCUGUUUUGGUGCUUGAUGCCAAAGGGGGAGAAGUUAAGGGCCAAAGCAACAAAUGGAUCAGCUACCACUUGAGAAUUUUGAAAAUAGUAGAGUUAGGACUUUUGAUUUGCCAAAAUUCAAAAUGUCUAUUUUUGUCAAAAGUUGGUCUCUUGUGGGGAGAAUGUUUGAUUAUGGGAAAAAGGGGGAGUUUUUGAAUCAGUGAUCAAUUUCUCUUGGAAUAUCUUUCUCUAUGCCUCAACAAGUGAAUUUGACUUAGAGAUAGGAAAUUGUGUUUGAUUUGCAAAAACAAACCUAGUGGUGGCAAAGAAUGAUCCAAAUAUGCCAAAUUUGAAUCAAAACAAAUUUGUGUUCUCAUUUGCAUUGAUGUUGCACUUCUUUUAGUUGCUUUUUGGUGUGUUGGCAUAAAUCACCAAAAAGGGGGAGAUUGAAAGGGAAAUGUGCCCUUGGGCCAUUUCUAUAAGAUUUUGGUGAUUAAGUGCCCAACACACAUUAAGGGAAUGAGUAUAUGCCAAAGGGUGGACAAAGUGCAAAUCAAUACAAAGGUAUGAUUCUAGACUUAGUAUAUUGGUUUUUGUGUACUAACAUAUUUGUCUAAGUUCUGGAAUCAAAGAAAAGACAAUUGGAAAGACUUGGCUCGAGCAGCCAAGACUCUGCUCAGUCUGGGUGCACCGGACUGUCCGGUGGUGCACCGGACACUGUCCGGUGCGCCAGACUGGCUCUGGGGAAAAGGCCGCUCUCGGGAAUUCGUCGGCGGCGUACGGCUAAAAUUCACUAGACUGUCCGGUGAGCCAACGGUCGGCUGUGCCAACGGUCGGCCGCGCAAUCCGCGCGUGACGCGUGGCCGAGCCAACGGUCAGAAGGGGGCACCGGACUGUCCGGUGUGCACCGGACAGUGUCUGGUGCACCAACGGCUCCAAAUCUUCAACGGUCGGCUGUGCCAGAACAGGAAAGAGAUCUGCACCGGACAGUGUCCGGUGGUGCACCGGACUGUCCGGUGCGCCAGUCGACAGAAGGCAAGAUUUGCCUUCCUUGAUUGCUCUCAACGGCUCCUAGCUGCCUUGGGGCUAUAAAAGGGACCCCUAGGCGUAUGAAGGAGUACACCAAGCACACUUUGAGCAUUCUUGAUCAUUCUCACUCCGACUUUGCGCACUCGUUUGACAUUCUUAGUGAUUUGAGCUCCGUUCUAGUGGUGAACUUUGUGAUACUCAUUUGAGCUCAAUUCUUGGCUGUGUGUGUGCAUAUUUGCUGUGGAUUUGAGUGUGUUGCUUCCCUCCCUUACUCUAGUGCUUUCACUUUGAUUCUUAUUGUAAGGGUGAGAGACUCCAAGUUGUAGAGAUUCCUCACAAGCGGGAAAGAGUAAAGAAAGAAGAACACCGUGGUAUUCAAGUCGAUCAUUGGAUUACUUGAGAGGGGUUGAGUGCAACCCUCGUCCGUUGGGACGCCACAACGUGGAGUAGGCAAGUUUUGUACUUGGCCGAACCACGGGAUAAAUCCUCGUGUCUCUUGUGCUUGUUCUCACUGUGUCUAUUGUAUUUCACAAGAGAUCUCCUAUAACCACUUGAUUUCAUUGUGCUAACUCUUAAUCAAGUUUUGUGGCCUUAAGUGUUAAGUUUUUACAGGAUCACCUAUUCACCCCCCUCUAGGUGCUCUCACUAUUAGUGUUUGAUUUUUACAGGAUCACAUUUUCACCCCCCCCUCUAGGUGCUCUCAUUACUGCAUAGGCAAUUUUAUUACGAAGUUAACACAAUUCGAACAAAAUAAAUCGGGGCUAAAACAAAUAAGAUAUGGGUUUUAUAAGUUUUUAUGCAUUUUUAUAUAAAUUUUACGCUUAAAUAUAGUGCUCGGGAUGUUUCUACAAAGUCAUCAUUUAUUUAUAUUUCUUUUGACUUAAAAAUGGACACGCGUUAUUUCUCUGAGAGUCCAGGGGCUCUUUUAGAAAACUUGAUAGGCGCACUCUUUUGGGCCAUCCAUUCGUGGGUCAACGGCCCAGAUCAGACCACAAAGCGGUAUGCGUAUAUUCUAAUCACAUUUGUCCAUCCUAGAUCGACGGCUAGGAGGCCAUCUCCUUUCCCCCGACCGAUGGAGCGGUGGCGCGGUUUGCCAGCGAAACCCAUUUCUGGCCCAGAUGCCCCGAACUCGAAUCAGACCGGUGCUACAUGAAAUAGAUUCAAUGGUGAAUCGAUGGGUGAAGUUCUUACUGGGAAUCGGAUGCUGGUGUGUGCCGUCCACGACGCGGGGUGGACGGGUGAUGCUUGUUGAACUUUGGCGAGCAAUUCGCAUCUUCACCGCCACCAUCCGAGCGUGCCUCCGCCACAAAGAUGCUCGGUUCGAUCCUACGAUGCUCCUAAGCCACAUGUCCCUGCAGAAUCGAUGGUGCACUUGGAUUUCGCCGCGGCGCCGACCAUUUCCAUCUCGGUCUCUCUCUUCGCUCUUCUCUGUCCCCUGCUCGGCACCGGC
Molecule: long non-coding RNA, 6039 nt
Filed under: Zea mays
Lineage: Eukaryota; Viridiplantae; Streptophyta; Magnoliopsida; Poales; Poaceae
Description: long non-coding RNA (ZMAY_LNC004003)
Source: RNAcentral